Long non-coding RNA from Carassius auratus (goldfish), 228 nucleotides. RefSeq lists it as uncharacterized. The record is from RefSeq and is a predicted model, not a curated record. Lineage: Eukaryota; Metazoa; Chordata; Actinopteri; Cypriniformes; Cyprinidae. The transcript has 3 exons.
GACCAGACCUGGCUUGUCAAAAGAAUGCUGCCAGAUGAUUUGUGAUUGUCUGCAGCCUGAUCCACAGAAGAGACUCAGUCUGGACAAGAUGCAUCUCCACGACUGGUUUAAGGUCACAGCGUAAAACACAACCUCAGAAAACAACUCCUGUCAUGGCCACCCUGUUGUUUUGUGUUGUAUUUUGUUUAUUGGUUUUGUUUGUGCACGGCAGUCGUCUGUGAGAGGCUG